CUACGGGGCGCUGCAGUGAGGAAUAUUGCACAAUGGGGGGAACCCUGAUGCAGCAACGCCGCGUGGAGGAUGACGCAUUUCGGUGUGUAAACUCCUUUUAUAUGUCAAGAAAAUGACGGUAGCAUACGAAUAAGCACCGGCUAACUCCGUGCCAGCAGCCGCGGUAAUACGGAGGGCGCAAGCGUUACUCGGAAUCACUGGGCGUAAAGGACGCGUAGGCGGGUUGGAAAGUCAGGUGUGAAAUCCUACAGCUUAACUGUAGAACUGCACUUGAAACUUCUAAUCUAGAGUAUGGGAGGGGGAGAUGGAAUUAGUGGUGUAGGGGUAAAAUCCGUAGAUAUCACUAGGAAUACCUAAAGCGAAGGCGAUCUCCUGGAACAUUACUGACGCUAAGGCGUGAAAGCGUGGGGAGCAAACAGGAUUAGAUACCCUGGUAGUC
This 439-nucleotide ribosomal RNA is filed under the name uncultured bacterium. RNAcentral's name for it is "partial 16S ribosomal RNA". It matches the Rfam family "Bacterial small subunit ribosomal RNA", at positions 339 to 795 of the family's 1533-position model. The record is from RNAcentral.